AGAGUUUGAUCCUGGCUCAGGAUGAACGCUAGCUACAGGCUUAACACAUGCAAGUCGAGGGGCAGCAUGUUGGUUGCUUGCAACCAACGAUGGCGACCGGCGCACGGGUGAGUAACGCGUAUCCAACCUACCCUUGUCCAUCGGAUAACCCGUCGAAAGGCGGCCUAACACGAUAUGCGGUUCACGGCAGGCAUCUAAGGUGAGCGAAAUGUGAAGGAGAAGGAUGGGGAUGCGUCUGAUUAGCUUGUUGGCGGGGUAACGGCCACCAAGGCUACGAUCAGUAGGGGUUCGUGAGAGGAAGGUCCCCCACAUUGGAACUGAGACACGGUCCAAACUCCUACGGGAGGCA
This 349-nucleotide ribosomal RNA is filed under the name uncultured bacterium. RNAcentral describes it as "bacterial SSU rRNA". It matches the Rfam family "Bacterial small subunit ribosomal RNA", at positions 8 to 350 of the family's 1533-position model. The record is from RNAcentral.